RNAcentral lists this unclassified non-coding RNA (200 nucleotides) under soil metagenome. RNAcentral describes it as "partial contains internal transcribed spacer 2 and large subunit ribosomal RNA". The record is from RNAcentral.
UGUUCGAGCGUCAUUACAACCCUCAAGCGUAGCUGGUAUUGGGCUCCGCUGCUAAUCUAGCGGGCCAUAAAAUUAGUGGCGGUGCCACGAGGACCUGAGCGUAGUAAACAUCCUCGCUAUAGGCGUCUCGCGAAACCUGCCAGCAACCCCCAACCUCUAAGUUUGACCUCGGAUCAGGUAGGGAUACCCGCUGAACUUAA